UGUGAGCUCGAUGAGUAGGGCGGGACACGUGAUAUCCUGUCUGAAGAUGGGGGGACCAUCCUCCAAGGCUAAAUACUCCUGACUGACCGAUAGUGAACCAGUACCGUGAGGGAAAGGCGAAAAGAACCCCGGCGAGGGGAGUGAAACAGAACCUGAAACCGUGUACGUACAAGCAGUGGGAGCCUUCGUAAGAGGGUGACUGCGUACCUUUUGUAUAAUGGGUCAGCGACUUAUAUUCUGUAGCAAGGUUAACCGUAUAGGGGAGCCGAAGGGAAACCGAGUCUUAAUUGGGCGUUAAGUUGCAGGGUAUAGACCCGAAACCCGGUGAUCUAGCCAUGGGCAGGUUGAAGGUUGGGUAACACUAACUGGAGGACCGAACCGACUAAUGUUGAAAAAUUAGCGGAUGACCUGUGGCUGGGGGUGAAAGGCCAAUCAAACCGGGAGAUAGCUGGUUCUCCCCGAAAGCUAUUUAGGUAGCGCCUCGUGAACUCAUCUCCGGGGGUAGAGCACUGUUUCGGCUAGGGGGCCAUCCCGGCUUACCAACCCGAUGCAAACUGCGAAUACCGGAGAAUGUUAUCACGGGAGACACACGGCGGGUGCUAACGUCCGUCGUGAAGAGGGAAACAACCCAGACCGCCAGCUAAGGUCCCAAAGUCAUGGUUAAGUGGGAAACGAUGUGGGAAGGCCCAGACAGCCAGGAUGUUGGCUUAGAAGCAGCCAUCAUUUAAAGAAAGCGUAAUAGCUCACUGGUCGAGUCGGCCUGCGCGGAAGAUGUAACGGGGCUAAACCAUGCACCGAAGCUGCGGCAGCGACACUAUGUGUUGUUGGGUAGGGGAGCGUUCUGUAAGCCUGCGAAGGUGUGCUGUGAGGCAUGCUGGAGGUAUCAGAAGUGCGAAUGCUGACAUAAGUAACGAUAAAGCGGGUGAAAAGCCCGCUCGCCGGAAGACCAAGGGUUCCUGUCCAACGUUAAUCGGGGCAGGGUGAGUCGACCCCUAAGGCGAGGCCGAAAGGCGUAGUCGAUGGGAAACAGGUUAAUAUUCCUGUACUUGGUGUUACUGCGAAGGGGGGACGGAGAAGGCUAUGUCGGCCGGGCGACGGUUGUCCCGGUUUAAGCGUGUAGGCUGACUUUCCAGGCAAAUCCGGAA
This 1145-nucleotide ribosomal RNA is filed under the name Cronobacter sakazakii. Its description in RNAcentral is "partial 23S ribosomal RNA". It matches the Rfam family "Bacterial large subunit ribosomal RNA", at positions 398 to 1547 of the family's 2925-position model. Lineage: Bacteria; Pseudomonadati; Pseudomonadota; Gammaproteobacteria; Enterobacterales; Enterobacteriaceae. The record is from RNAcentral.